This 1389-nucleotide ribosomal RNA is filed under the name Triticum aestivum (bread wheat). RNAcentral's name for it is "partial small subunit ribosomal RNA". The record is from RNAcentral. Lineage: Eukaryota; Viridiplantae; Streptophyta; Magnoliopsida; Poales; Poaceae.
AUGGCCUCCAUCAAGAUCAACCUCGCCGUGGACAGGUCCCGGAACCGCGUGCUGUUCGCCGACGCGGGCUCCGACUUCGUCGAUGUCCUCCUCACCUUCCUCACACUGCCGCUCUCCGCCGUCCAGUCCUGCUUGGCAGGCGCGACAUCGCCAGGAUGCCUCUCCAACCUCUGCGCCAGCGUCGACCGCCUCAGGGACCUCAGGCUGCUCAAGGUUGAGGCCUGUCAUGGCAUGCUUCUCAUGCCCACUCACACCGACGAGUUCGACCAAGCAGGCAGCACAGAGACGUUUGUAAGCCGCAAAGAACGGUUUGUUAUCAGUGAUGCCAUGACGAUCAAACCGGCAUCCACCAGCAGCCUGCAGUCGCUGCCUCAAGCGUUCGGUUCCGAUGGGAUCGCCCAUGGCUUUGAGGAGGUCCAAGUGAGCGUCAGCUGGGAGACUGUUUUAUUCAUGUUCAACGCCUCCCUUUCUUCAGAUACAGUACUUAUUGAUGCAUACUACCAAAGGAAACUGACUCAUCAGGCUGCUGGUGCUUCUGUGAAACAGAUCAUCUUCAAUCAGAAAACGCUACCGUCCGAUCAAUACUCCGCAGGCUCUGCACCAGAAAGCAAGAUAAAGAUCUUCUAUCACACCGACGAAAAGAAGGUCAUGUAUGCAGAAUGCAACCAUGACUUCGCCAACCUGCUCCUCGGUUUCCUGGCUUACCCUAUCAGCUCUGUUAUCAAGAACACAGGGGCUAGCACUCCCCAUCUUGGCAGGUGCCUCAACAAUCUCUAUAAAAGUGUUACCGAUCUCGACGAGGCUGGGUGCUUAACAGGUGCUCUCACCAGACCGUUCGAUGCUUUGAGCAACCUCGUGUGUCGGGCGCUAGAUUGCCAGUGUCGGAAGGACACGAUGCCAGAGUUAGCAUGUUUUUGCUGCCAUCCUGAGCUUGUUGAAGAUGGAAGGUACGUCGUAGGCGAUGAUCUACUUAUACAUCAGGCAUCUGCCAUGUCUCUGAUGAAGCAUUGGUGCGGGAGAAACAAGGAUAUGGUACUGGAGAUGGACAUUUCCAUCAGGAAGCCCGAGGUAGUUGCGCUGCUGCGAGCUGUGUUUACUUCUAAGACGGUGCUCACCGACAUAUUCAUCGACAGGCUGGAGGAAUAUUUCUCCCAGAAGAAGAUACAGAUAUUCUCUAGGAUCCCCAGGGGCAAGACGAUAACCGUGGAGGUUGCGCGAGCAGACACCAUUGCCACUGUCAAGAGCAGGAUCAAGGAUAAGGUGUUCAUUCCAGCAGGUUGUCGUCAUGAGUUGGUCUAUGGUAGCAGAUAUCUGAAAGACGCAUGCACCGUUGCCGAAUGCAACCUCGUCAGAGAAUGUACCGUCACCUGCGAAUUAUACAAGAAGUGA